GUCAAUUUGCUGCAAUGGCUCCUGCACCAGGGUUGGGUGGGUUCGCUGCACUGGCCGCGGAGCUAGAGCAUCUUCCGAGCUCCCGAGCAGGGGCUGACGGUGCUGCCAGCUGUCGUGCGGUACGGCCGGCAGAGAGCGGCCAGGAAGGAGACCGUGCCCUCUUCCGGGGGAGCAGAAGAAACGCGCGGGCUGUGCGAGGCGGCUCGCGGCUCUGGAGUGCCUGAGGGGCAGAGGGCGGCAAACGUUAACUGUAGGGGCUUUGCUGCGUUCCUCACACAUUCGUUUUUUUGUUUGUUUUUCGGAGAUGGAUUCGUGCUCUGUUGCCCAGGCUGGA
Molecule: long non-coding RNA, 334 nt
Filed under: Homo sapiens (human)
Lineage: Eukaryota; Metazoa; Chordata; Mammalia; Primates; Hominidae
Description: HSALNT0384222
Source: RNAcentral